This 253-nucleotide ribosomal RNA is filed under the name uncultured bacterium. Its description in RNAcentral is "partial 16S ribosomal RNA". It matches the Rfam family "Bacterial small subunit ribosomal RNA", at positions 524 to 776 of the family's 1533-position model. The record is from RNAcentral.
UACAGAGGUCUCAAGCGUUGUUCGGAUUCAUUGGGCGUAAAGGGUGCGUAGGUGGCAUGGUAAGUCGGAUGUGAAAGCCCAGGGCUCAACCCUGGAAGUGCAUUCGAUACUGGCAGGCUUGAAUAUGGAAGAGGGUCGCGGAAUUCCCGGUGUAGAGGUGAAAUUCGUAGAUAUCGGGAGGAACACCAGUGGCGAAGGCGGCGACCUGGGCCAAUAUUGACGCUGAGGUGCGAAAGCGUGGGGAGCAAACAGG